AUGUCAUCUAUCAAUGACAUCCCAUUGAUCUCCAGGCUUAAUUUAGCUCAUCUGACUGGCAAGUUUGGUGUCCCCUUUCUCCCUCACUGCUUCAUCUGUGUUCCUCCCCAAGCUGUGUGCUUGGUCCUGAGAGGAUGCCCCUCCCCAAAUAGAGAUGGACUGGUCUUCUGCUUACCUGCUAGAACCUCUAUAUGAACUCUCAAGGUCCAUAUAUACAAUUUUUACUUCAUAUUUACUUAUAGAAAGUGAAUGUUUUGACAAAGAUGUAGAGGAGUCA
This 277-nucleotide small nuclear RNA is filed under the name Erinaceus europaeus (western European hedgehog). Its description in RNAcentral is "7SK RNA (ENSEEUG00000022961.1)". It matches the Rfam family "7SK RNA". From Rfam's summary of the family: 7SK was discovered as an abundant small nuclear RNA in the mid-70s but a possible function has only recently been suggested. Two independent studies have found that 7SK RNA binds the CDK9/cyclin T complex (known as elongation factor P-TEFb). P-TEFb activates transcription by phosphorylating the C-terminal domain of RNA polymerase II. Lineage: Eukaryota; Metazoa; Chordata; Mammalia; Eulipotyphla; Erinaceidae. The record is from RNAcentral.